This 104-nucleotide microRNA precursor is filed under the name Musa acuminata subsp. malaccensis (wild Malaysian banana). Its description in RNAcentral is "mir-399 microRNA precursor family". It matches the Rfam family "mir-399 microRNA precursor family". Rfam says of the family: mir-399 was identified in both Arabidopsis thaliana and Oryza sativa computationally and was later experimentally verified. mir-399 is thought to target mRNAs coding for a phosphatase transporter. The mature sequence is excised from the 3' arm of the hairpin. The record is from Rfam by way of RNAcentral. Lineage: Eukaryota; Viridiplantae; Streptophyta; Magnoliopsida; Zingiberales; Musaceae.
GUGAGAAUGACAGUGCAGUUCUUCUUUGGCAUGGAGUCGAAGCUGGUCCAAAUGCACGCUUAAUUACCCUCCUUGCCAAAGGAGAAUUGCCCUGCCAUUUGCUG